CCCUGAUUUCCAAAGGAAAUGCAAAAUUUACUUUCAUCAGAGAACAUAACUUUGGACCACUCAGCAACAGUCCAGUCCUUUUUGUCUUUAGCCCAGGCAAGACGCUUCUGACGCGGUCUGUUGGUCUCUUUCAUUUUAGAGGUAUAGAUGUCAAAAAACAAAAAACAAAAAAACAAAAAAAAAACAAUUGUCAUAAGUCAUUCAGCACCAUUUCAUUCCAAAUUCCAAACUGACGUUCCUAGGUGUUCCUUAGCUGCAUCAGAUGUGUUUAGGAUCUGAGUUUGUCACCCCAGCUGUAGAUGUUGGUUCUGCUGUUUAGAGCUGGUCUGUUCCUUUUGACUAGUCUCUUUCUGCAAGUUGGUUGUAAAUGAGAGUUCAAUUGUAUGCUUGAACUUUAAAGUUUUUCUUUUGUGAGCAUUCAUGCGCAGGUUUCUCAUACUGGGGUUCUGUAUUUAAUUCUGGCUUAAUCUAUUUUAAUUUUGGCUUUAUCACUGUAUCGGUGGUGAUUGCCAAGGCAGAAAAACAAACAAAAAAUUACACUGAGAUUAUGAAUGUCCAGUGUAUCUGAAACAGUCGCCCAUUUGAGAGACACUGUUGUAGAUAUUGAUGUAUGCAGAAAGGUUGUACAGUGUUACAUGUAUUUGUCCUUUGCAUUCUUGACAGGAACAUUGCAUACAGGAUAAUACCCGGAAAAUGGACAGAAAAACAGGCCUUGAUUUACAGGGUUUUCCAGGACAGCCAUAUGGAAAUGACUGUGGCAUAUUCAUGUUGAUGGUAAGGUGUACAAUAUGUUGGUGGUUAAUAAUAUAUUCAUUUUGCCCUAAGACUAACUUGUCUUUCAUUUAUAGUCUGCAUUGUAUAUUGUGCUGGAUGCUCCAUUUGACUGCACAAUUGUAAGUAAUAUUAUAGUUUUCAGUAACUUAGAGACAGUAUAACUUACAAAGGGCAUAAACUUUUGUGUUUUGAGCAGCUGGACAUGGCAGAGUUGAGGAAAUGGUGGUGCAUCAUGUUAAUGGAGAACUUCGGACUGGAUCGACAUGGAAAACUGUUUGCCCAUUAUGCAGAAGAGUCCAAAGCCUUGAGAGGUGAUUAGCAGCCUGUAUUUAGGUUGCAAAAGAGGAAGUUUGAAAAAAAUUCUUGGGUAAAAGCAUAUACUUUGAAAUCAUGAGGUUAAAAAUGGCAUUUUAUCAUAUACUAGCUAAACUUGUGCUGUAUUUUUUCCACUAACAGGAAAAGCCUUUCACAUACAGGUAACUCGUACCUUUUUCUUUGUUCCAGCUCCUCAGAAAAAGUAUGUUACUUUUUAAAAAGGUAGUACUAAAGAUAACUGGUUCACAUUCAAUCUUCAUAUGUUUUUUAGGAAGAUGAAACGAAUGAUUUCACCCCUGAGUCUGCACCAGAGAAGCAGGUGGCUCCACGAAAAGUAGGUUUUAUUAGAGGGGUUGCAGCCAUUGUUGUUCAGCAUAUUUUUAAUUAUCCUCUUUUGCAUUGUUUUUUCUUAGGUGCGUAUCAUGACGAAUCUGAAGAUUGCCAGUCAGUGGUGCUUGGAGAACUCCGGUGAUCUUCUUGGCUCAGUUCAGCUUCCUCGUAUACUGUGCAUGGAGGAUGAAGAAGCCAUUGAGGCCUUGGACCAGUACUGCAGUGCAGAGCAUAUAGAGGACGAUCUUGUAGAGCCACUGAUGUUUGUCUUUACAUUUAUGCAGGACAUGCAUACAUUUGUAGAGAAUGUGGUGGACAACAUCCACCUCACAGCAAUCUUUUGUCGCACACAAGAUAAAACAAACAAACAAACAAAAAAAAUGGUCCAUUUCAUUUUUUCAUGGAAUGUUUUUCUAUAUAUUUUCUAUAUAAUAUAUUUUAUCUUAUUUUUUACAAUGCU
This is a long non-coding RNA of Megalobrama amblycephala (Wuchang bream), 1879 nucleotides long. RefSeq lists it as uncharacterized. The transcript has 3 exons. NCBI's taxonomy places the organism in Eukaryota, Metazoa, Chordata, Actinopteri, Cypriniformes, Xenocyprididae. The record is from RefSeq and is a predicted model, not a curated record.